RNAcentral lists this transfer RNA (91 nucleotides) under Desulfovibrio ferrophilus. Its description in RNAcentral is "tRNA-Ser". It matches the Rfam family "tRNA". From Rfam's summary of the family: Transfer RNA (tRNA) molecules are approximately 80 nucleotides in length. Their secondary structure includes four short double-helical elements and three loops (D, anti-codon, and T loops). Further hydrogen bonds mediate the characteristic L-shaped molecular structure. tRNAs have two regions of fundamental functional importance: the anti-codon, which is responsible for specific mRNA codon recognition, and the 3' end, to which the tRNAs corresponding amino acid is attached (by aminoacyl-tRNA synthetases). tRNAs cope with the degeneracy of the genetic code in two manners: having more than one tRNA (with a specific anti-codon) for a particular amino acid; and 'wobble' base-pairing, i.e. permitting non-standard base-pairing at the 3rd anti-codon position. Lineage: Bacteria; Pseudomonadati; Thermodesulfobacteriota; Desulfovibrionia; Desulfovibrionales; Desulfovibrionaceae. The record is from RNAcentral.
GGAGAGGUGGCCGAGCUGGCUGAAGGCGCGCCCCUGCUAAGGGCGUAUACCUUUACGGGUAUCGAGAGUUCGAAUCUCUCCCUCUCCGCCA